This 380-nucleotide ribosomal RNA is filed under the name uncultured Nitrososphaerota archaeon. RNAcentral describes it as "bacterial SSU rRNA". It matches the Rfam family "Archaeal small subunit ribosomal RNA", at positions 471 to 851 of the family's 1478-position model. Lineage: Archaea; Thermoproteati; Nitrososphaerota. The record is from RNAcentral.
UAAAACCAGCACCUCAAGUGGUCAGGAUGAUUAUUGGGCCUAAAGCAUCCGUAGCCGGCUCUGUAAGUUUUCGGUUAAAUCUAUGCGCUCAACGUAUGGGCUGCCGAAAAUACUGCAGAGAUAGGGAGUGGGAGAGGUAGACGGUACUCGGUAGGAAGGGGUAAAAUCCUUUGAUCUAUCGAUGACCACCUGUGGCGAAGGCGGUCUACCAGAACACGUUCGACGGUGAGGGAUGAAAGCUGGGGGAGCAAGCCGGAUUAGAUACCCGGGUAGUCCCAGCUGUAAACGAUGCAGACUCGAUGAUGCAUUGGCAUAUAGCCAGUGCAGUGUCGCAGGGAAGCCGUUAAGUCUGCCGCCUGGGAAGUACGUACGCAAGUAUG